GUAACAAGGUCUCCGUUGGUGAACCAGCGGAGGGAUCAUUGCUGGAACGCGCCCCAGGCGCACCCAGAAACCCUUUGUGAACUUAUACCUUACUGUUGCCUCGGCGCAUGCUGGCCUCUAGUAGGCCCCUCACCCCGGUGAGGAGAAGGCACGCCGGCGGCCAAGUUAACUCUUGUUUUUACACUGAAACUCUGAGAAAAAACACAAAUGAAUCAAAACUUUCAACAACGGAUCUCUUGGUUCUGGCAUCGAUGAAGAACGCAGCGAAAUGCGAUAAGUAAUGUGAAUUGCAGAAUUCAGUGAAUCAUCGAAUCUUUGAACGCACAUUGCGCCCUCUGGUAUUCCGGAGGGCAUGUCUGUUCGAGCGUCAUUUCAACCCUCAAGCAUUGCUUGGUGUUGGGGCACUGCUUCUAACGGAGCAGGCCCUGAAAUCUAGUGGCGAGCUCGCCAGGACCCCGAGCGCAGUAGUUAAACCCUCGCUUUGGAAGGCCCUGGCGGUGCCCUGCCGUUAAACCCCCAACUUCUGAAAAUUUGACCUCGGAUCAGGUAG
Molecule: ribosomal RNA, 550 nt
Filed under: Diaporthe phaseolorum
Lineage: Eukaryota; Fungi; Ascomycota; Sordariomycetes; Diaporthales; Diaporthaceae
Description: eukaryotic LSU rRNA
Rfam family: 5.8S ribosomal RNA (bases 217-370)
Source: RNAcentral